UGGCUUUGUGCUAAAUCAAACUUUCUAACUUUGACCCCAAGUUUAAAAAUUAUAAUAACAUCUAUAAGUUCAAAUAAAUGCAAUACCAAAACUUGUUUCAUGGAGAAUUUGAUGAAACUAAUUUGAUGGUAUAUAUGUUGGUGGAUUUUUCUAUAAACUUGGUCAAAGUUAAGAGAAGUUUGACUUGGGACAAAACCAA
This 199-nucleotide microRNA precursor is filed under the name Sorghum bicolor (sorghum). RNAcentral's name for it is "MIR1435 microRNA precursor family". It matches the Rfam family "MIR1435 microRNA precursor family". Lineage: Eukaryota; Viridiplantae; Streptophyta; Magnoliopsida; Poales; Poaceae. The record is from Rfam by way of RNAcentral.